Non-coding RNA from Misgurnus anguillicaudatus (oriental weatherfish), 1185 nucleotides. The record is from RefSeq and is a predicted model, not a curated record. NCBI's taxonomy places the organism in Eukaryota, Metazoa, Chordata, Actinopteri, Cypriniformes, Cobitidae.
AUAACUUAAGGCCUAGUUGUGUCUUCAUCUCUAAACCCUGUCUGGGAAACUGCCCCUAUAUCAAUGAGUACGUUUACAUGCACAAAAUAAACGGAUAACUAUCAAAAAUCUGCUUAUUAUAAAAAACUGUUUUUUAUGCGUUUACAUGUAAAUCAAUAAACCGGCUAUGCAGACAACUGUGUUUACAUGGGACUUGGAGAUUUGUCAGGUUUCUCGCAGACUCAGCUGAAUCUAAAGAAAGACACCGAAAGCCUACAAGAACCUACAAUGAAAAUGAACUGGUUGUAGAUGAUGGUCACAGAUGUUCAGGAGUGGGCUCACACUACAACUGUAGGAGACAGUGAUGUUGCAAUUCAGACAACAAGGAACACAAUAGAAGAAUUAUCUUUGUGCAUUAAACAACGGCAGCAUCGUCUUUAUAGACACACUGUUAACCCCUGGAAUCUUCCAGAUGAUGGGAUUCAAGGACUUCAAUGUGUGUUGAAGAGAAAAUUACAUCAGCUAAGAGCUCACCAGGGCACUGUAAAAACAAGUUAUCAGACAAUAGACAUCAUAAACGAACAUAUUACUGUUGAAGAAUGUAAAUAUCCCAGCUGGCCAUAAGACUCAGAAGCCCUUUAUUCAAGCAGUGCUGAUCUGAGCUCUGAUGAAGAUGAUACAUGUCUGCUGUAGUUAUUUACUAAAUAUGUUGCAGUUUUUUUUCUUUCACUUUAUCUAUUACUCUUCUUUCUCCAUCAGUCUUCUCUUUUUUUUAGUUUUUCGCUCUGAUUGCAUGUGUGCUUGCCUUAUACCAUGGGAGAUGAAAUAUUAACUUUUUAAUAAAGGAUGGAUUAAAAUGUUAAUUUGGGUUUUUCUGAUGGGAUUUACAGACAUAUAUCCUGUGCAUUUUUACAGACAUGUCCUACAGUGGAUUGCUGGGAUUGGGGGCUGUAAGAGUAGUUUUGAGAAAUGUUUCUAUUUUGUGUGUAACAGAAGAUUAUUUCCAAAUCUAAACAGUGAUAAAUAAAAAGUAAUGAUAUGUACUCGUUACUUGCUGUAUUCUUUAAAAAAAAUGCUUUAAAUUGUAAAUUCAUAUAAAUAAUGUACAUGCAUGCGUGUACACUAUUACUAAAGUGUAAAUUGGGAGACAAACAUUACAAUGUUCAAUUCUUUGUGACAUUAAUAAAUAAAUUACAAACAAGGAUU